RNAcentral lists this small nuclear RNA (178 nucleotides) under Carassius auratus (goldfish). RNAcentral's name for it is "U2 spliceosomal RNA (ENSCARG00000040990.1)". It matches the Rfam family "U2 spliceosomal RNA". From Rfam's summary of the family: U2 is a small nuclear RNA (snRNA) component of the spliceosome (involved in pre-mRNA splicing). Complementary binding between U2 snRNA (in an area lying towards the 5' end but 3' to hairpin I) and the branchpoint sequence (BPS) of the intron results the bulging out of an unpaired adenosine, on the BPS, which initiates a nucleophilic attack at the intronic 5' splice site, thus starting the first of two transesterification reactions that mediate splicing. Lineage: Eukaryota; Metazoa; Chordata; Actinopteri; Cypriniformes; Cyprinidae. The record is from Rfam by way of RNAcentral.
AAAAUUUUUCAAAAGAAAAAAAAAAUCUGUUCUUAUCAGUUUAAUAUCUGAUACGUCCCCCAUCCGGGGACUACAUAUUAAAUGGAUUUUUAGAUCACGGAGCUGGAGCCGGGGCUUGCUCCGUCCACUCCAUGCAUCGGCCUGGUAUUGCAGUGUCUCCAGGAACGGUGUGCUUUCC